Bactrocera neohumeralis is the source of this 3029-nucleotide long non-coding RNA. RefSeq lists it as uncharacterized. Lineage: Eukaryota; Metazoa; Arthropoda; Insecta; Diptera; Tephritidae. The record is from RefSeq and is a predicted model, not a curated record. The transcript is spliced from 3 exons.
CGCUUAUGCAAAAAAUAUAUGCAGGAAUGGCACAAUCAGUGUUCCGGCUAAGCGCAAUUAGAACUAUUAGCGCAUUCCGCACGGUAUCCCAUGAAGCCGCUAGCAUUAUAUCUGGGAUAAUGCCGCCAGACAUAAUGGCACGGGAACUGAAGCGGAUCUAUGACAAAAGCAAAAGUAUUGGCAGAAAGCUGACAAUGCCAGAGCGAAAAGCGGAAAGACAAGAAAGCAUGGAGGAAUGGCAAAAUCGUUGGGACACAACAACAAAGGGAAGAUGGACGCACCGAUUAAUCGGGAAAGUACAAGAAUGGGUGGAACGAAAGCAUGGCGAGACAGACUUUUACAUGACGCAGUUUCUGACAGGACACGGAUGUUUCCGAGAGUACCUACAUAGGUAUGGUCAUGACAAUGGCGUUACUUGCUCUUUCUGUGGUAACAGUAGUGAAAAUACGGAGCACAUAUUUUUCUACUGCCCGAGAUUUAAGUCAGAGCGCCAGGCCCUGGAGAUAGAAGUGGCAGGCCGGGUAACACCUGAUAACAUAGUGAAUCAUAUGCUGCAAAAAAGACGAGUAUGGUAUGCCAUGGAGAGGACGACAGCUCUGAUACUGCAAGAGCUGAGAAGAGCCGAACACCAAAGAAGCAGUGAAGCUAGAGCCGCAAAUAGCGAACUAAUGACGUGAGCCAAUAGGCUAAGCUGGCCCUGCGAUGUAAUGCCUAGCGGCGGUCCCGCAGGACCUUUCCAAAAAGCUUCAGAUGACGGAGUUAAGGGUUUAGUACGUAGGCGUACUGUUCCGCAAGUCCAAUAUAGUAAGAUGUUACUUAUUAGGCGUGGUCCCGAAUGAGGUGCACCUUUAGCGAGCAGUACGAAUCGUGCAUGCUGUAUACCACUAAGUAUCAGUAUCUAUGAAAGAUUCCCCCUUCGAAAAAAAAAAAAAAAAAAAAAAAAAAAAAAAAAAAAACGCAUCACGCAUCAUAACCGGUACACGUUCGCUGUAAGUUCGCAACAAAGGUGAGUGUCGGUCGACUUGUAAAGUAUUAAGCGUAUCGAGCUUUCUAGCUUGCUUUUAUUAUUAAGUUUUCCUUGUAAAGAUUGAAAUCACGGAGCGAAUUAAAUAACACGUCCGUACACUUUGAACAUUCUCAUAUGAAUGUGUAUGAAUAAAGAAUGUUCCGCUUUUGUGGAACUAAAAAUAUAUUUUUUAUAUUUCGUUGAACCAGAAAUAAUAAUUGUCGCGGGGUACAUAUGAACGUAGUUUCUCAUGAGCCUUUAAACUUGUGAGUUGAUUAUCGUUAGUGUGUUAAAACAUGUCAGUAAAGCAAAAAAAAAAUCAUUGCAAAUCAAAUUGAAUUUGCAUCAAAAAGUUGAGAUUUUAAGAAAAAUCGAUGAAGGUAUUCAUCGAAAUCGAUUAGCGUUGGAUGAAACAAACAUGGUUCGCAUAAGUUGAAACUAUUGAUAGUGAAUUCGCAAAUUAUCGUUGCUUGAAGGGGUUUGAAAACCUAUUGGAAUAUGCUAACUCGUAAAGUCUUGGAUGAGUUCUGAGCUAUUCUUCCCCGGUGAUAGUUGUUUGCAGCCCAUGAAUCAAAAUCACAUAAAACAAUGAGACGAUGAUCAAUACGACAGCGAAGCAGUUGAAUGCGUCAAUACCUUGCAAAAGUGGUAUGAAUAAAAAGACAUAUACAUGUGGGAUGGCAACAUUGGCCGAAAGCAACUCUGGUGGGACAAAUCAACACUGACCGAAUAGCGUUGACUGACGCUCUGAACACAUAGGAGCGACACGACAUGACAGCACAACAGUGAACUGUAAAUUACGUCGUGAAUCCUACUACAUGAACAUUUGUAAGAAAGCAGCGACAUAACAAUGGCCGGCAUGAACACAAAACAACACAGUUGUCCAUUUUGUAUGUACACAAUUUCGUUGUUUCCAUACGAAUACCUUUCACCUCAAUGAAAUUUAAGUAUUUUGUUCAAAGUGCAAUAUUUUAUGCAAAAAAGAAGUAAAUAUGUAGGUAAAUAUUUUUGUUUUAAAUUAUCAAUUGUUAUUACAAAUGAUAUAACAGAGCCAUUUUAUGCCUUUGUUUGUAAAUUAACGUCAGGUUUGUUAGAGCUUUGAAUGAUUUUACAUUUUAAGUAUACGUAGCAUCACUCCUCUCUACUGUCAACUCUACUGUCGUUGGCAAAUAUAAGAAUAUUUUGAAGCUAGCGAAGGCGACAAUUGACGGCCUGCAGUCUUGCAGCUGUCAAAAUAAUAUUUUAAUAUUUGACAGAUGUCGCUUGCAAUCUGUCGCGCUCAAUGUGUUCAGCACAUGACGGAGCGAGGUGCGGGAAGUGCGCGGCGCGCGCUGUCAACUGUUGGUUGCUGUUUUAUUUUACGACUGAAAACUGCAAUGUCUCAGUAAGUAUGAGAUUUACGCAAAUUUACGACAGUUUUUCAAACAAUAAUUGUUGUUCUAAAUAAUAUUUUCAAUGGAUUGGCAUAGGUUUCAUACCUGUACAUCAAAAGGUGACAUUUGAUAUACUUCCAAGUUUAGGUAUGUUCAAGAGGUUUCAUGCUUUUUAAUUUUUUUUUUUUUUGUGCAAAUUGAAAAAUAUUUUCAAGUUAGCGAGAGCGACAACUGAGAGCCUGCUGUCGUGUAGUCGUACGAAUGUCUGAAUAACUGUGUCCAUAAGAUAAUGUGAAUUUUAAUAUUUGACAGAUGUCACUUGUAGUCUGUCACGCUAGUUAAUUUUUACCAGAAGUAAAAAUGAGUCAAAAGAAUAUAUUUUUGAGCUGAACCGAAAAGUGUACUCUUUAUUAAUACUCUUAAGACUAACUUAUUACACAGUUCUUACUUCUAUUUAUGCUAACUAGUAUGCUUACUUAGUAUUACUAGUUCUUAAUUUGUUUAGAUAUAAUACCAUAUAUUGUUUGUUUAGGUUUGUUUACAUGAAUCUUAGUGCUACUUAUACUAUUGAGAUGCUGAUUGUUUUCUAGUAAAUAACUAUUUGGGUUGUUAUUGUUUGUUGUACUGAUAGUGCACUUCUAUUGUUCGAA